GGAGAAUUCGUCAGCUCCAUCUUCAUUACAAAACCCUAGUUCAAGAUUCAAACUUUCCAUCUUUUCAAGAACCCAAUUUCUCAAAUUCCAAUAUGGUCGUCUUUUUCUCUUUAUUUUCGUAUUUUUCCUUAACUCCUCCGUUAUCGGUGGAGUCUCAUAUCCUCCUGAAUUUCCUCAGAUCCCAUACCCACAAUACUGUAACGAUGUUGUUCCCAGC
This 217-nucleotide unclassified non-coding RNA is filed under the name Hevea brasiliensis (rubber tree). Lineage: Eukaryota; Viridiplantae; Streptophyta; Magnoliopsida; Malpighiales; Euphorbiaceae. The record is from RNAcentral.